Molecule: ribosomal RNA, 449 nt
Filed under: Spinomantis peraccae
Lineage: Eukaryota; Metazoa; Chordata; Amphibia; Anura; Mantellidae
Description: partial 16S ribosomal RNA
Rfam family: Bacterial large subunit ribosomal RNA
Source: RNAcentral
UGGGGACUAGUAUCAACGGCAUCACGAGGGUCCUACUGUCUCCUCUCUCCAAUCAAUGAAACUGAUCUCCCCGUGAAGAAGCGGGGAUUUAACUAUAAGACGAGAAGACCCCAUGGAGCUUUAAACCCGACUACACCUCCACCUCUUAUACCCACAUAAUCAACGGAGUACUGUACAUCGGUUUUGGGUUGGGGUGACCACGGAGCACAAACUAACCUCCAUGAUGAAUAAGACUAACCCUUUAUCUAAGAGACACACCUCUAAGAAUUAGCACACUAACAUAAAAUGAUCCGAUAUUCGAUCAACGAACCAAGUUACCCUGGGGAUAACAGCGCAAUCCACUUCAAGAGCCCCUAUCCACAAGUGGGUUUACGACCUCGAUGUUGGAUCAGGGUAUCCUAGUGGUGCAGCAGCUACUAAAGGUUCGUUUGUUCAACGAUUAAAACCCU